GAACAAACGAAUGAAUAAUUCGCAGCCUAAGUAGAUAAAUAAUGAUACAAAAACAAAUCUAAAAAGAUGCACAUCAAUAAAAAGUAAAAUGACCACAGGAAAUAAGGCGUAGCUUUAUCUAAGACCAUUGGAUGGCAAAGCCAGCGGGUAAGAUUGAUAUUAAUUAUUUGCUAAGAAAACAAAUCCAUCCCUCAAACUUAAUGGAUUUCUGAGUCUGGAGCUAUCUAUCUAAAAUAAUAUGAGACAUACAUAUAAAGAAGAUUAAAUAUAUCAAAGUAUGAUCAAAGACAAACAAAAUCUGAUUAUAAGUAUUUGUUUAACGGUCGGGACCACGAGCCUUCUUUUAUCUAUAUAAACAGUAGUGCGACCCUUCAACCCAGACCUAAGUCACCAGUUCACCAUUGAGAAAGUUAUCUUUCCUCAUUAAAAUAUCUUAAAUCAUUGGAUAAUCGGUAUUUGUUAUCUGACAAGAUUAAUCCUUAUAUUUAGAUGAAGAAGACAUUAUGUUUGUUGGUAAUUUAUUUCAAUAUACUUCAAACUGAUACUCAUUCGAAUCUCGUCGUCAAGAAUGUCAUAACUUUAUUUACUUCUGGUUUCAUUUCCACCAAGCCAGCAACCUCGUUAAUGCUCUUCUUUUGUUAAAUGAUAAGUGUCACUUUUUUAAGGUUAUUUUUGUGGAAUUUGGUAUUGUUGCCAAAUUUCUUUUUAUUUACGGGGGAGGGGGCAUUUACUAUGCUCGGGUCAUUUUUAUGAGCCUUUUCAUUCAUAAGGUCAUAUAUUUCACAAAUCAAAAGAUAAAAACAAGUACGGAAAGAGAGUUGUUGCAAAUGUGAUUAAUAAAUUAAAAUCAAAUACACAUACUGUGACAUCCUGGAAGAAAUAUAUUUAUAGUAAAUCAAUUAUAGAGUAGCAAUAUUUAUUCCAGGAACUUAUUGUAUAUAUAAACUGAUUUUGUUGUACAGUAGCGUAUUUGCCUGAGAAAUUUGUGCGUAUCUUGCGCAUAUUCUAUAUAAACAAAUUUCGUAAACAAAGAUUAUAUUGGUUUGUUCAGACAAUUCUUUACAGUGUAGAAUUAUUGUUUUUCAAUUUGUGUUAAAUUGUUGCUGGGUAGCCGUUUUAUUGACACUAUUCUAUUGUUCAUCAUUACAUAUAUCAUACACAUAAAAGCAGAACAUUUUUAAAACCGAUGUUGAUUUUUUUUCUGAAAUAAUUUUGUGGAAUAAAUCCAUUAACAUUUAGCGAUUUUCUGGCACGGCCAGCUGUUGUUUUUCUUUUGAUGAUGAUGAGCACGAGCGAUUGUCAUAGCAACCCUGUUUUUUUUUCUUCAAAAUAGAUAUUAAACGCACGUGCAGAUGAGGAAAUUUGAUAUCGCAUGUGUAAUCAUGAAACAAAAGAUCAUUUUCUAUCUUAUCUAUAUCACUGUGUAAUACAUCUGUUUUUACGACAUUAUCUAUUCGCAUGUAAAUCUGUUUAACUUUUACGACAGAAAUUUAUUUAUUUGUUUUGAUAUAAUACAUUGCGAGAAACAGGCCGAGGAAUGCAAUGAUUUUUUCUGUCCAUCUGAGAAGUAGGAGACAAAGAGUUAUUAGCAGGCAUAUGAACUAUCUCUCUCUCUCUCUCUCUCUCUCUCUCUCUCUCUCUCUCUAUAUAUAAACUUAUAACUUAAAAUGAAUAUAUAUAUAUAUAUAUAUAUACAACUCGUCUAAACAUCAACCCAACAAUGUUAGAUCUGUGCUUUCGCAAAUUUUUGGUUCUUCCCUCGCCGGGAUUCGAACCCAUGCUACUGUGAUAUCGUGACACCAAAUCGCCUGCACUGCAGCCGUCCCGCUAGACCACACGACCACCUGGGCUCUCAAAUAAAGAGCUUUCGCUGGUCGUGUGUUACCUUUCAUAUAUAUAUAUAUUCAUUUUAAGUUAUAAGUUUGCCACAUAUCAGGCUUUUUGAUUGUGGGAUGUCCGUUUAAUUCUCCAUUUCAGAGUCUAAUGUAUGAUGGGUAACUAUUUAAGUGUACAUCUAAACGUCGUGAUUGGAUUUAACAAUGGAAAUUCAACCAAUGACAUAACGUUAUUUAAAUUUUUGGUGUAGAAACAAUGAGAUUGCCCUUGUCCUUUAGAUUCUAAAGAGGACAAUUGUGCUGGAUGUAUAAAUACGCAGCCACGUCCGGACAGAUUUGGGACAUAACAUUCAAUUCGUCUCUGAUAUCUGAAUUUUCUUAGAUAUUGACUGACGGCUGACUUGAAACAUAAUCUAUGAAACAUUUCAACUUUCAAAUUCUUAACUUUCUCGUGUUUAUAGAUAGCGUGUUAGGCUCUAUGCACGUUCAGAACUCCAGCCAUAACUCUUGGAUGAGUCCGGCUUUAGAAUAUGUAUGUUGCAAGGCUAAAAUGUCUUCAUCCUGAUCGACCUUUCACAGGAUUUACUUACUUAUAUUAUCUAGUUUUAUUUUGUUCUUUUCCUGACAUGUAAGAAACAUAUUUGUCACUGGGUGUUAAGAACAAGAAUCCAAUGUUUUACACAACAAAAUAUCCAAAAAUACACCUAACCAGAAAAUCAAUGAAAGCACAACUUAAUUCUAACGUCGUCGUUAAACAGUAUUGAUAAUUUUUUAAACAUGAAUAUUUGGACUGUAUUAAAAUAUUCAUAUGCCAAAUGCGCGUGGUAUACACGACGUGUUUGUUAGACAUAUCGUGCACUGUCCAAUAAACUAAUCUGACACCGACGUCUUUAAUUACUGUAGAAACCAUUUGUACAUAGUUUUGUGAAAUUAAGCUCCUAUUUCAUGGAACCACGCGUAUAAGCACACGCACAACUUCACAUAUUUCUAUGACAACCUGACUUUUAUUAGGUGUUAACUCCAUGGUUGAGUUUUGUGGUGGACCAAUACAUAAUAAAUGCCUUCAAAUGACCAUAGAAAUAAUCCAAAAGUCAAUAAAUGAAAGUCACACGCCAUCACAUUAACGUGUAGGUCCGACAUGAUAGAAUCCAUGUUAAUGUCUCCUUUGUUUUCAAGUUUUUUUGGUGGUUUUUUUUAAGUCUAUACUGAAGUCCUAGGGUUAAGAAAUAACAUUAAGUUGACUUAUUUACCACCACGCAUACACUGACAGUCAAAACUAUGUUUUUUUUUUGUCUUUUUUUAAAUAAGUGAAAAUAUAAAUGCUAUUCCAGUUAUACCGCAUAAAUGAGGAUUUUCACCUUUUAUUUCCAAAAUUGAUAGGUCAUCGUCCCUAAUAUAUUUAUUAACUUAUUUCUUAGUUACGAGAGACUGACACCAUUGAAACAAUUUUUCCAUUUCAAUUGAUCCAACAAAUGUUACACUUUCACUUAGCCAAGGUUACAACCGAACACUGACCUUCACAGCUCUAUCUACUUUACAUAUUUUUUUAUGAGCAUCGGAUAAUCUGCUGGGGGUCUGCUUACAUUCGGAAUUCAUGUUUGAUGUUCGAGCGUUCACCUUUAAAUCAUGCAUGUUCAAGUGAAUAACAAUCCUAUUUUUGUUUUGAUUUGGAAGAAGACAGGUGCAUAGGUGCAUACACGGCAUUGCAUUCAUGUUGUUGUUUGUUUUUAUCAAUUUUUUUUUGCCUCAAACGCAAUGAACGUGACAAUGGAAUCAUGUAACAAAGGCCGAUCAUCCAUAAAUAAAAAAAGGAGUGAAAGUUUGACUGGAAGAAAUUUAAUUGAUUUUAAAUUGGGAGAAAACUUGAACAUCUCAGUUGCGGCAUCAGAAACUUCCGCAGCAUGUGUUAAUUGCGUAAAUUUCAAACGCAAGGAUGAAUUCGCUACAGUAGAUAUUCAAGUGUCCAUAAAAUGCAAACAAAAAAAGUGUUUUUAUACUUUAUUUUCCUGGCGUUUAAAAGCCUCACUGAUCUGUUGGACGGGUUUAUGAUCAAUUGAAACAAUUUUUCAACAUGUGCCCGUGAAUCUAAAAAGCUUUAAGAUAUUGCCCUUCACAUCUCUCCCCACCGAGAAUACAAGUUCCUGUAAACAUUACAUUUCUAGGCGGAUCCAGGGGGUCAUUGAGAGCCCGGACCCCCUCCCCCUUAUGUGGGAAACAUUUGCUUGAUUACCUAGGAAAUCACUGAAGAUGACUCGGGCGCCCCUUAAGGGCAUUCAAUGCCCAAACCCCUUUAUAAAUCUGGAUCCGCCACUGACACGCAUGUGUUAGUUGCUUUGCAUGAGGCAGGGAUUAUUUCGCCUUCAGACCAAUUUAACAAGAUUUACACACCAUUUCAAAAUUUUGAUGUGGUAUGUAACUGGUUUGGAGCCUGUAAUUCAGUAGUUGUCGUUUGUUGCUGCAUGUGAACAUAUUUGUUUUUCGUUCAUUUUUUGUACAUAAAUUAAGCCGUUAGUUUUCUCGAUUGCAUUGUUUUACAUUUGUGCUUUUCCUGCCUUUUAUAGCUGACUGUCUUUGUUCAUUGUUGAAGGCCGUAGGGUUACCUAUAGCUGUUUAUUUUUGUGUCAUUUGUCUCAUUGGCAAUCAUGUCACAUCUUCUUUUUAUAUAUGUCCUUUUAGUCUGCACACCAUUUCAAAAUAUUGAUGUGCUUUGUGUCAAUUUAAUUUAUUCGAUCGUUUUCCACCAUUUAAAUCGUCCACCACAACAGUACUAUAAGAUUUCUGGAAGAUUUGAAUAUAUACAAACAAUGGCUUAUCGAUGUUAAAUAAUAUUUAAACAUUUACUUAUCGAGUUGGAACACGUUUGUUUAUAGAAGUUACAUGUUUAAACAUGAAACAUUGUAUUUAAAUAUUGAUUUAUACAAACAAAAGAAGAACAAAACAAUUAGCAUUCUUUACACAUUCUUUAGAAUUUACACAAUUUUAUCACGCACUAUAUAGAGCCGAGUCUGGCGUCAGCAACAUGUAAUAUCAAUAGACCAAAGACGUGAGAAUUGUUGUAUAAAAGGAAUAAGAUUUCGUGAGAAUUAUUGUCAAAUUGAAAAAAUGAUUCCGUGAGAACUAUAUGGUCAAGUUAUAAAAGAAAUAUUCCGUGAGAACUACUAUAAAGUUAGAAUAAAGAUUUAGAAGAACAUCCCCAAAGGAAAUACUGUACACGUUGUUCCUCAUGCUGAUUCAGUGACUGAUGGUGCAGAAGAGCACCUUAGCUUUACGGUAAUGAUGUUAUUUAAAGAGGUCCUAAGUUAUGAUACGACCAGUAUGAACUUACUUAUUACUAUUGCGUUAUAUGUGUUAUUGCGCCAUGUUUCAAUGUAAGUAGGAUGUGAGACAAACAUGUUUUGACCCUGCCGUAUUAUGAACCCCUUAUGAGUACUAGUAUAUAAAUGUGCAUUUAAAUAGAUGGUAUUACUUGACGAGUCUGUCACAUGUAAUACAACAGACUCAGUAGUCGUUAAUAUUUAAUAUAUCACGGGUCCGCUCAUGGCUAACAAUAUGGUAUUGGUUUGGUCAUUGUUGAAAGCCUAAUCUUGAUCUGCCCUAUUGUUCACAUCUCUGAUCUUUGGUCUUUUUUAUUUUUACGAAAUUCGUAGGACGUUUUAUGAAACAAAACAGUGGACUGAGCGCUAGUAUUUUUAAGGACAAACCCAAUAGAGGCAUGCAAACAAUCAGAUAGAGAACCCAAAACAGAAAACAGUUACACAAAACACAAGCGGAUAUUCCUUGCUACUUACAGUGGAAGACGGAAAGAGCCUGUUUGAGAAGAAAUUGGAGCAAGAGGGAAUUCGAAUAAUUCAGCCCCUCCCCGUAAUCGAUCUCUCCUGUACUGGCUAGGUUAAUGAAGUAAUCGAAAAUCAGCGGAAUAGAACGACUGAAUUAUUCGGGUUAAGCUGAGGGUUAAGCAAGAGGGAAAACAAAUUAAAAUGAAAGACUAAAGUAAUAACAGAAAAGAGAGUUUGUUCCUACAAGGGAGUAUUGAAAGGUUUUCGAACACAUUUUACUUUAAAAAUACUUUCGAAAUAUACAAGCGCUUGACCAUUCUGACAGUUAACAUUCCCCCCUUUACUAUAAAAACUACGAUGAAUUACUAUCAAUUUUUGACCCAGUUACUUAACCAAUCAAAACAUAAAUAUAGUAACAAGAUUAUACAUGUUUUUGUAAGUCAAUGACCUCCUCGCACUUUAAAAAUAUCAACUUAUUUACAUACGUGAACUAGAUACAUGAUUAAACACCUGGGAAAGAAAAAUAUUUAAAUACAAAAAUUGGAGGUUGAAACGAAUUAAAGGAAAAGAUUAAAAUAUAUGAUUAUGAAUAAGGUAAAAUAAAGGUAUAUGAGUCUUUUAUGAAGUAAACAAACAACAUAUUUUCCGAUAGGGUAAUCUAAUCUGCUACGGCGAAUCUAGCUUAUUCUUUACAUCAGUAAAUAUUUCUAUUUCACCACGAUAAUUGACAAGUUGUCAAAAAAGUGCUACUAAGAGGAACAAAUACAGCAAAAAUAACACCGAAAUACGAGAAGAAAAUAGCGCAUGUUUGUUGUCAAAACAAAACGAAUUAGAAUAAGAUAAAAGAAUCAUUUAUUCAUCUAUGCGGAAUGCCAUGCACAUUUGAUUGAAAACACAUGUAGGUAAUUGGUUGCUUUCUUCUUUAAUCAAAACUGAGAAGCACGCUGCUAUACAAUUUAUCUUUCGCGUGUCUUACUCGUGCAUUUGCCAUAUUUAUUUAUGUUCUCUUUUCAGCAGAUCAUAUUUCAAACAUGUGUGGAUGGAUGUGUCCAGCCCGGAAAAAAGAUCAAAGUUGACCGUCAACGAUCCCAGGAUUUACAGCUCCCU
This 6718-nucleotide long non-coding RNA is filed under the name Mytilus galloprovincialis (Mediterranean mussel). Lineage: Eukaryota; Metazoa; Mollusca; Bivalvia; Mytilida; Mytilidae. The record is from RNAcentral.